RNAcentral lists this ribosomal RNA (253 nucleotides) under uncultured bacterium. RNAcentral's name for it is "partial 16S ribosomal RNA". It matches the Rfam family "Bacterial small subunit ribosomal RNA", at positions 524 to 776 of the family's 1533-position model. The record is from RNAcentral.
UACGUAGGGGGCAAGCGUUGUCCGGAUUUAUUGGGCGUAAAGAGCGUGUAGGCGGCCAGGUAGGUCCGUUGUGAAAACUGGAGGCUUAACCUCCAGCUGUCGAUGGAAACCAUCUGGCUAGAGUCCGGAAGAGGAGAGUGGAAUUCCUGGUGUAGCGGUGAAAUGCGCAGAUAUCAGGAAGAACACCCGUGGCGAAGGCGGCUCUCUGGGACGGUACUGACGCUGAGGCGCGAAAGCGUGGGGAGCGAACAGG